CAGUCGCCGCGGUAAUACGAAGGGUGCAAGCGUUAAUCGGAAUUACUGGGCGUAAAGCGUGCGUAGGCGGUGAGUUAAGUCUGCUGUGAAAUCCCCGGGCUCAACCUGGGAAUGGCAGUGGAUACUGGCUCGCUAGAGUGUGUCAGAGGAUGGUGGAAUUCCCGGUGUAGCGGUGAAAUGCGUAGAGAUCGGGAGGAACAUCAGUGGCGAAGGCGGCCAUCUGGGACAACACUGACGCUGAGGCACGAAAGCGUGUGGAGCAAACAGGAUUAGAUACCCCAGUAGUCCCUGUCUCUUAUAC
Molecule: ribosomal RNA, 301 nt
Filed under: uncultured bacterium
Lineage: Bacteria
Description: partial 16S ribosomal RNA
Rfam family: Bacterial small subunit ribosomal RNA
Source: RNAcentral